Molecule: non-coding RNA, 78 nt
Organism: Potamilus streckersoni
Lineage: Eukaryota; Metazoa; Mollusca; Bivalvia; Unionida; Unionidae
Source: the annotation of a GenBank genome assembly
GUUAUGGUGGCCUAGUGGUAAGAGCGUACGCAUUUGAUGUGGGAGGUCGUGGGUUCGAUCCCCGCCCGAGUUGAAACC